GGCUCAGGAUGAACGCUAGCGGCAGGCUUAAUACACGCAAGUCGAGGGGCAGCACGAAUAGCAAUAUUUGGUGGCGACCGGCGCACGGGUGCGUAACACGUAUACAACCUACCUAUAACAGGGGGAUAGCCUUUCGAAAGAGAGAUUAAUACCCCGUAAUAAAUUGAGUGGCAUCACUUGAUUUUGAAAGCUACGGCGGUUAUAGAUGGGUAUGCGUCUGAUUAGCUAGUUGGUGAGGUAACGGCUCACCAAGGCGACGAUCAGUAGGGGAUCUGAGAGGACUAACCCCCACACUGGUACUGAGACACGGACCAGACUCCUACGGGAGGCAGCAGUAAGGAAUAUUGGUCAAUGGAGGCAACUCUGAACCAGCCAUGCCGCGUGCAGGAUGACGGCCCUAUGGGUUGUAAACUGCUUUUGUACCAGAGAAAACCUACUCACGUGUGAGUAGCUGAUAGUAUGGUAAGAAUAAGCAUCGGCUAACUUCGUG
Molecule: ribosomal RNA, 490 nt
Filed under: uncultured bacterium
Lineage: Bacteria
Description: bacterial SSU rRNA
Rfam family: Bacterial small subunit ribosomal RNA
Source: RNAcentral